RNAcentral lists this ribosomal RNA (2889 nucleotides) under Sclerospora graminicola. RNAcentral describes it as "eukaryotic LSU rRNA". The stretch from base 2183 to 2889 matches the Rfam family "Eukaryotic large subunit ribosomal RNA", at positions 2391 to 3261 of the family's 3401-position model. Lineage: Eukaryota; Oomycota; Peronosporomycetes; Peronosporales; Peronosporaceae. The record is from RNAcentral.
ACGCUGUCAAAGAGCUGAGAUAUCGUAGCGUCAGGCAUCCCAGUCUUAGCCAAGGCGUAAUGCAUUGGGUCCAUGUAAACAUUAGGAGGUACCACAAUGCAUCGAGUGGCACGAUACACCGCAUGCCGGCGGUAAGUGGCGUCCAUCCAAGCUCGAGGCAGCUUGUACAUCUGCCGAAGAUAAGCCGGUUGAACUUGAAUAGUAGCUAGAAGGUCUUCGUGCGAGCUGAAGUGUUGCACAUCUUGGGCAACAAACUCCGCAAUAAGCGCGUCCAACUCCUGUACCGAAAGCUGUUGACGCUUUGGAUUAAGCUUGCGCACCUCCAUAAGCACGUGUAAUGCUUGGCGGGGAACAAGAUUGGUAUCCUCCGUGAAUCCAGCAACGUUGUUACCGUCUUCAUCGUAGACCUUGAUAUCUACAUCAGGAGGUUGAGCCUCAUCAUGGGCGAAGUCGGUUAGCACCUCAUAGGUGUUGAAGACGUCCACCAUCGUGUGGUACGUCAAUGUUGACGGUUCGGCCGCAUCAGUAGCGAGCGUGCAAGGUGUUAGUCCGUCGGGUUGCGCAACCGGUCCGGCGGCUUGCGUGAUACCACGACGCGACGCUUGCACCAAUUGCCACUCUGGUGCCGUAGCCGGGACAGAAUCCAGAAUUAGGCGCUUCGUAGUUGCGUGUGCGUGCGUAGAAGCGGGGUGAGAGCCAGACUUAGGCUGGGGUAACGUGCUGGCACUUGAAGUAGAAGAAGAAGCGCGAAGAACGCUUCCAAGCGGCGGACUUGAGGCAGAUGCGUUUGGAAUCUCAGGCUCAUUGUCGGGCGACGACAAAUCAACAUGGACUCUUGGUGCAGUUGCGUCACCAUCCGUCAUAGUGGCGUCAUUAUCUUGGUCGUCAACUCUCGUUGUCGGAGGGGGAGAACCUUGACGGAGCGACGGGGGUUUGACUCGGUUAUAUUUGCGAAGCCGGUGCUGAACGAAGCAUGGCUUGUCAUUGGGGUCCAGGUAUAUUUCCCGAAGAGGCUCGCCGCCUGGUAGCAAAAGACCAGCGGGGCAGUUUACUGCGUCGAAGUAAAUCGUCCGAUCGCGCGACUUGAGCUCACCGGCGACAAAAGUUGGUGUUAUAAGCACCGGGCGUGCACCUUGUGCCACAAACCAUUCGUAGAUCACGCGAUCCGGUACAUCUCCGGGGAGCCGGGUAAGGUCGACAUAGUAUAGUUUGUCGUACUUCGAAUACUUGCGAAUCUUCACUCGUAUUCCGCAUACAGUCAACACUAGCCCACCCAAAGAGUAUAGGGCCGCGUCCGAGGUGCAGAGAAAAGAAAUUCCUUGACGGGGAAUCCGAACAAAGUCGCGCAACGAAGCCUUAUGAGAUUGCCAGAUCUCAGGCUGGUGAUCCCCCGCCAAUGAUUGGAGGAUCUCGUCGGUACUAUGUUCCGUCGUCAAUUGCGCCGCGGGAAUCCACAUACGCGUGCAUUCUGAUGCGGAGACAGGCGUGGGCAACUGGGAACUGGCCUUAAAGUAGCGAUCGUCGUCGGAGGAACUUACGUCACCAAGCAACGAGUAGCUAGCCGUGAAUAGACUAUCGUCGGGGACGAAACGACGGGGCGGCGACGGGCGACGCGUAGUCGAAUCAGAAGCUUGCGCUGAAGGGCGCGGAGGGUGUGGUGUUUGAGAGUUAACAACCACAGUCAUAGUAGUAGUAAGUAGGUAGCUGUUACUGCGUCUCUAGUGUCGUAGGACACCCAAGCAAACACUAGUCAAAAGGUACCUCAAUACCCGGACAAGGUGUAAGUGCAGCCUACUUAGGCAAUCAAAAGCAGUGUUCCUAGCUCGAUCAGCUCUAAUCGAACGUAGGUUUUCAGUGAUCAAAAGCAAGGUCGGCCUAGCGCUCUUGCAAGAGAUCACACCACCACUUAGGAAGCUUAGUAGUUUAGGCAAACCUAGUCAAUCUCCUUGCGGAAAAGACUUAGCGCACGCUCAAGCACACUCAGCAGGGAUGAGCCAACAGUCAAAGACCGAAGGCGCCUAACUGUCUGAGUGGUAGAGGAUCGGUUUAACUCCGCGUCCGAUUCGGCAACGACAAACAGCACUCCGCGAAGAGUGAAGAUGUCGGGGACGGCGAGGACGGCGGUGUCGUGGGGCGGCGGUAACACUCUGUGAUGAGUGGAACGGCGGUAGCUGGUCGGCGGUGUGCAGACGGGGCGAGGUCGAGAACGAUGUGUGCUCGAGGUGGAAAAAUCCGGAAUGGGGGAGUUUGGCUGGGGCGGCACAUCUGUUAAAUGAUAACACAGGUGUCCUAAGGUGAGCUCAAUGAGAACAGAAAUCUCAUGUAGAACAAAAGGGUAAAAGCUCACUUGAUUUUGAUUUUCAGUAUGAAUACAAACCGUGAAAGCGUGGCCUAUCGAUCCUUUAGUACUUUCGAAUUUUAAGCUAGAGGUGUCAGAAAAGUUACCACAGGGAUAACUGGCUUGUGGCAGCCAAGCGUCCAUAGCGACGUUGCUUUUUGAUUCUUCGAUGUCGGCUCUUCCUAUCAUUGCGAAGUAGAACUCGCCAAUUGUUGGAUUGUUCACCCACUAAUAGGGAACGUGAGCUGGGUUUAGACCGUCGUGAGACCGGUUAGUUUUACCCUACUGAUGAGUUCGUUGUCUAAACAGUAAUCCAACCCAGUACGAGAGGAACCGUUGGUUCAGAUAAUUGGUAACUGCGGUUAGCUGAAAAGCUAGUGCCGCCAAGCUACCAUCUGUCGGAUUAUGGCUGAGCGCCUCUAAGUCAGAAUCCAUGCUGGAAUAGACGAUAAUCACCUUUCCUGAUGUAACGCGAAUAGCGAUAGGUGUCCUUUGGACACCCAACAUCAGACAAUUGCAACGAAACUCGCUAUCUGUCAAAUAUCGAUAGU